Lacerta agilis (Sand lizard) is the source of this 323-nucleotide long non-coding RNA. RefSeq lists it as uncharacterized. The record is from RefSeq and is a predicted model, not a curated record. NCBI's taxonomy places the organism in Eukaryota, Metazoa, Chordata, Lepidosauria, Squamata, Lacertidae. The transcript is spliced from 2 exons.
UCAAAUCUCAGUUCACUUCUUGAUGGGUAAGAGUCCAACUAAGUGGCAACUGUCAAAUAACAUUUUGGUCCUUCCCCCUUUUCUUCAAGUCAUUAACAAAACAUCUGGAAGAAGACUGUCUCACUUCUUAAUCAGAAUUGGAGUCCUCAACCAUAGCAGUUUUUAAAAGUGAAAAAAGAGACACUUGGUGAUGCAGUUGGGCUCUCCUGGUAUGGAAGAUGACAACUGGAGGAAGACUUUGGACUACAUCAAUCAAAGCAAGCAAGCACAUGUAAUAUCAAUACACCAACAGAGAUUUGCAAUUAGCAAUAAGCUGCUAGAGU